AAUCUUAAUUUUUGUAAUUAAUUACAUGACAAUACCAUUAGAAAAUUUUAAUCAAAAAUAGAAUCUUUUAAUGACAUCAUUAAGAUUACCAAAAUCAUUUAACGACAAUAUUCAUCUCUUAAUUAUAGGGCUUAUUGGAUUUAAAGACGGGUCAUCAAAGAUUUCCUAAACUGAAGCAAAAUAUACCGAAUAUUCAAAUAUCUAUCUGUUACCAAAUUAUAAACAAAUAAGUUCGUAAAACAAUUUAAUAUUUUAUAUACGAAAUCAAUUAAAAUCUUAAUUACAGAAAAAUUA
This 294-nucleotide small RNA is filed under the name Arabidopsis thaliana (thale cress). RNAcentral describes it as "ATSL136760". The record is from RNAcentral. Lineage: Eukaryota; Viridiplantae; Streptophyta; Magnoliopsida; Brassicales; Brassicaceae.